Molecule: non-coding RNA, 134 nt
Filed under: Lepisosteus oculatus (spotted gar)
Lineage: Eukaryota; Metazoa; Chordata; Actinopteri; Semionotiformes; Lepisosteidae
Description: Eukaryotic large subunit ribosomal RNA
Rfam family: Eukaryotic large subunit ribosomal RNA
Source: Rfam by way of RNAcentral
CAGUAAUCCUGCUCAGUACGAGAGGAUCCAUGAACAGACUUGUGGUGUCUGGUCUUGGCUGAGGAGCCAGUGGUGUGAAGCUGCCUUCUGUAGGAUAAUGACUGAAUGCCUCUGAGUCAGAACCCCCCAUGAAA